UGAAAACCUUCAAAUUUGCCUCUAUUAUGAUAGUUUGCUAUAUUCUGUUGGCAAUGUAUCAUGAUAUUGAUGAUUGUAGACAUAUUGCUUCUCAAAAUUUGUCUUGCACUGCUGAAGUUAAGCCAGAAUUAUAUGAGUAAACAAGGUUGUAUUAUUUAUGAAAUAAUAGAAGAUCAAAGCAGUAUCUCCUUCAGUCAUUUAUCCGGGAUUUGGGACCCUAGUAGAAUGUUUCCAAGCGUUCAGAAAUGUGAUGAAUGGAGAACUCAAAAUACUGAUGAAAAGGGCAAAAAUAUGCAGGGCAUUACAGCUGGUGCUGUGAAAGUUGUUAAUUCUGAUAAAAGUUCAUUUAAUAUCUGUUCUCCUAAUAUAUCUGCAAUGAUGAAAGAAACUUUAGAUCACAGCCAGUUGGUUAAAGAAUUUGAUGAUUUACUAUUUGAAUUAUCCUCUAAUAAGUGCAAUUCGAAGUUACCUAUUAAUGAAUUUGAUUGUCUUUCUGUUUGUUGUGAUAGUUCUUAUGCUGAAAAUUGCAAGUAUGUGCCAAAAGAUGAAAAUAUUCCUGAGAAAAAUUUGAAAUCUGGAAUUAUUUUGAAACAGAAAGACAAAAAUUUUAAUUUAAAAAUUUCUGCACAUGAUAUUGGUAUUGAAAAAACAUUGAAAAUGGAUUAUAAAACUCCUUCCAUCUCCAAAAACGUAUGUGAUGAUGUGAAAUGCAACAGUGAUGUAUCUCAAGUAGGCUCUAAGAAGCUUUUGGAUACUUGUAAUAUGUACCAUAAUGAUAAGGAGAGUAGUCACCCUGUUAUCAUUGAUGACAUUGCAGCACCAGUUGAAUCAGAUAAUUUACAUUGGAUAAAUUCUGUUCUUUGGGAUUAUCAAGAGUCUAGUUCAAGUUCUAAUCAAAAAGAAGCCAUUAUUUUUGGAAUCCAAAAACAGGAUAAAAUUCAUAAUUCUUAUCAAGAAGAUGUGAAUAAUGACAAAAAAACAGUAUCUAAUGUACUAGAAAGUAGUUUAAUGAAAUCGCAUCUUAAUGAAAGUAUGUUCGUCGGAGAAUUUUCUGAUGUGAUACCAAUGACAAGAUGUGUAAUAAAAGGUUCUUCCAAAUUUAAAGAAAAGCAUAUUCCACCAUACAUGUACAAGAAACAGCCUAUGGGUGUAUACAGAGUAUCUGAAUUAGUAUGUCCGGAUUCUUUAAAAUCAUCUUAUCAGAAGAGAGCGAGAGAGUUGGAAAUGUCUAAUUCCAUGAAAUGCUUCUUAGUGAACUUAUAUAUUGAAGCUAAAGACAGACAUUCAGGCCCAUUUUUAUUUGAAAUUUAUCCAAAAAUGACCUUAAGACUUUUGAAGUUGAAGGUCGAACAAGAAUAUGAUAUUGCUGUUUCUGCACAAAUGUGGAUUCUUGGCAGAACAUUAGCUGUUGAUAAUGAUAUGUCAUUAUAUCAUUAUGGUGUACUUCCAGGAUCACCAAUAUUUUUAUAUGUUGAUUCUGCAUACAAAAUGCCAGUCCAUAAAAUUCCCCAUAAGCCAGUGUCAGAGCCUGCAGUUAAUAGGAGAGAGAGCAGUAUUAAUGUAACCAUUAUUGAUAAAGUAUCUAAUAAAACUGAAGGCAAAAGCAUAAAUAAAAGUAAAAGAAUUCCUUUUGAAGUAAAAAAACAUAAGAAAGACCGAAAUAUAUCUAAAAAAUUGUUAGAACCUCUCCAAGAUCAGGUUUGCCAUGCUAAAUCAAAACAAAUUAAAUCUGAGAAUAUUUCAAAUGCAUCUGAGUCUACUAAGAAACUAAAUCAGAAUUUGUAUUUAGCUGAAUUAGAACCAAUUAUAAAUCUAGAUGCUUUAAAAAAUAAUUCUCAAAAUAAAGAUGAAUCAAUUUCUCAGUUGUUAUCCGAAACAGAUCAAAAUAAAGAUUAUGUGUUGUUAUCUGAAGUUGAUAGAUCUGUAUGUCAUGAAUUAUUGCAAUUAAAGGAAAAUAAAAGCAAUGAAAUACAGUCAGAACCUGAGGAAGCUAUGAACAGUGGAUUGCAUAGUGCCAAAAGGGAAAAAAAUGUUAACAUUUCCAAUAGUGAAAAAGUCUUUUUCCAAAAUCCAGAAAAUAAUGAUUUAGAAAAUAACACAGUAUCAUCUAAUUCUUUUGAUAUCUUUGAGAACAAUUUUGAGUUGUCUGAUUCUAAGCAAGACUAUUUGAGAAAUCAAAUUUUUGCUGAAAAUUUUCCUCAAAACUUUCAAGAUGCAGAGCAUCAAGAAGUAUCAGAUUUCUCAGAAAAAAAAUUAGGUUGUGAAAUUAUGAGUGUUAAUUCUGUACAGCCUACUGCCAAAGCAAAAAGUGAUAAAAUUUCGAUUCUAAGGAGGUUAAGUCUGAAGCAUAGAAGAAAAUCAAAAGAGACUGAAAUAGAUGAAGUGUUGAAUAGUAACAGUGAAGUGCUUAUGGCAUCAUCUCUUAAUGAUACUGUGGCAGAAAAUAUUCAACUUGAGAAUGAUUGUAGUACAAAAUUCAUAGAAAUUGUAAAUGCCCCAUGUCAGGAUGGAAAAAUUCAUGAAGAUACUAAGGAACAAUGUAACAGCGUAUCUGAAGAAUCAGCAAAAAAUUACGAAUCUCUUUUAGAGACUGAAAAUAUGGAUCUGGUAAAAAACAGCGUUCCUUUUAUGUGUCCAGUUUGUUUUAGUGACAUUGGAACUUCUCAAGGGGUUAUUUUGCAUGAUUGUCUUCAUUCUUUUUGUCAGAUUGUUUAGCCAGAACUGUAGAAUAUUCUGAAAGUACUCUUAUUAAAUGCCCAUAUCGAGAUGAUGAUUAUUCUUGCCAGAGCUAUUUGCAACAACGGGAAAUAAAAGCUCUUGUUUCUAAAGAUAUGUAUGAGAAGUAUCUUCGCC
This 2853-nucleotide unclassified non-coding RNA is filed under the name Stegodyphus dumicola. RNAcentral's name for it is "uncharacterized LOC118188033, transcript variant X1". The record is from RNAcentral. Lineage: Eukaryota; Metazoa; Arthropoda; Arachnida; Araneae; Eresidae.